This 528-nucleotide long non-coding RNA is filed under the name Salmo salar (Atlantic salmon). RNAcentral's name for it is "lncRNA (ENSSSAG00000116597.1)". The record is from RNAcentral. Lineage: Eukaryota; Metazoa; Chordata; Actinopteri; Salmoniformes; Salmonidae.
GGAAACCCUGUCCCAUAGAAGUUAGUCGAGGGGGAGGAGUUUCAGUACUUCCUCAGUUGUCGGAGUUAUGCUGCCCCUGACAUACACACAUUAUCUUCUCACAAACACACUCUCUUCUCACACACUGUCACACACUCUGUUCUCACACACUGUCAGAAACUCUCCCGGCUGCGUUCAUUACAGUCCGUUGCUCUUUCCAAACACAGGGACAGGAGCAGAAUGACUGGGCUUUAACCUGGUGGAGGGGAAAGUUUCCCUCACUGGGGGUAAACAGACUGAGGACACACUGGGACUACUAUACUGGACUACUGUACCAAUACCACCCUCAUGACGAAUGAAGUGACAGGAGAGAGCAGACAGCAGGACAGAGACAUCUCCCCUGCUGAGCUGGAUGCACUAUGGAGAGAACCACCGUACACACUAGCGGGAACCAAUCAGCACUUCCCAGGGAAUGAUGUCAUGAAUCCAGGUAACUACAGGGUGGAGUCUGGGAGCGGGGAGGUAGAGUCGGAUAGUUACUGGAAGAGG